Molecule: transfer RNA, 65 nt
Filed under: Pylocheles mortensenii
Lineage: Eukaryota; Metazoa; Arthropoda; Malacostraca; Decapoda; Pylochelidae
Description: tRNA-Lys
Source: RNAcentral
CACCUGAUGACUGAAAUAUAAGUAUAGAUCUUUUAAAUCUAUUAUAGUAAAAUUACUUCAGGUGA